ACACAGGUAGUCAAGAUGAGAAUUCUAAGGUGAGCGAGCGAACUCUCGUUAAGGAACUCGGCAAAAUGACCCCGUAACUUCGGGAGAAGGGGUGCUCUUUAGGGUUAACGCCCAGAAGAGCCGCAGUGAAUAGGCCCAAGCGACUGUUUAUCAAAAACACAGGUCUCUGCUAAACCGUAAGGUGAUGUAUAGGGGCUGACGCCUGCCCGGUGCUGGAAGGUUAAGAGGAGUGGUUAGCUUCUGCGAAGCUACGAAUCGAAGCCCCAGUAAACGGCGGCCGUAACUAUAACGGUCCUAAGGUAGCGAAAUUCCUUGUCGGGUAAGUUCCGACCCGCACGAAAGGCGUAACGAUUUGGGCACUGUCUCAACGAGAGACUCGGUGAAAUCAUAGUACCUGUGAAGAUGCAGGUUACCCGCGACAGGACGGAAAGACCCCGUGGAGCUUUACUGUAGCCUGAUAUUGAAAUUCGGCACAGCUUGUACAGGAUAGGUAGGAGCCUUUGAAACGUGAGCGCUAGCUUACGUGGAGGCGCUGGUGGGAUACUACCCUAGCUGUGUUGGCUUUCUAACCCGCACCACUUAUCGUGGUGGGAGACAGUGUCAGGCGGGCAGUUUGACUGGGGCGGUCGCCUCCUAAAAGGUAACGGAGGCGCUCAAAGGUUCCCUCAGAAUGGUUGGAAAUCAUUCAUAGAGUGUAAAGGCAUAAGGGAGCUUGACUGCGAGACCUACAAGUCGAGCAGGGUCGAAAGACGGACUUAGUGAUCCGGUGGUUCCGCAUGGAAGGGCCAUCGCUCAACGGAUAAAAGCUACCCCGGGGAUAACAGGCUUAUCUCCCCCAAGAGUUCACAUCGACGGGGAGGUUUGGCACCUCGAUGUCGGCUCAUCGCAUCCUGGGGCUGUAGUCGGUCCCAAGGGUUGGGCUGUUCGCCCAUUAAAGCGGUACGCGAGCUGGGUUCAGAACGUCGUGAGACAGUUCGGUCCCUAUCCGUCGUGGGCGUAGGAAAUUUGAGAGGAGCUGUCCUUAGUACGAGAGGACCGGGAUGGACAUACCUCUGGUGUACCAGUUGUCGUGCCAACGGCAUAGCUGGGUAGCUAUGUGUGGACGGGAUAAGUGCUGAAAGCAUCUAAGCAUGAAGCCCCCCUCAAGAUGAGAUUUCCCAACUUCGGUUAUAAGAUCCCUCAAAGAUGAUGAGGUUAAUAGGUUCGAGGUGGAAGCAUGGUGACAUGUGGAGCUGACGAAUACUAAUCGAUCGAAGACUUAAUCAA
This 1266-nucleotide ribosomal RNA is filed under the name Staphylococcus aureus. RNAcentral describes it as "partial 23S ribosomal RNA". It matches the Rfam family "Bacterial large subunit ribosomal RNA", at positions 1657 to 2925 of the family's 2925-position model. Lineage: Bacteria; Bacillati; Bacillota; Bacilli; Caryophanales; Staphylococcaceae. The record is from RNAcentral.